RNAcentral lists this ribosomal RNA (264 nucleotides) under uncultured bacterium. RNAcentral describes it as "partial 16S ribosomal RNA". It matches the Rfam family "Bacterial small subunit ribosomal RNA", at positions 524 to 787 of the family's 1533-position model. The record is from RNAcentral.
UACGUAGGGUGCAAGCGUUAAUCGGAAUUACUGGGCGUAAAGCGUGCGCAGGCGGUUUUGUAAGUCUGUUGUGAAAUCCCCGGGCUCAACCUGGGAAUGGCAAUGGAGACUGCAAGGCUAGAGUUUGGCAGAGGGGGGUAGAAUUCCACGUGUAGCAGUGAAAUGCGUAGAUAUGUGGAGGAACACCGAUGGCGAAGGCAGCCCCCUGGGUCAAAACUGACGCUCAUGCACGAAAGCGUGGGGAGCAAACAGGAUUAGAAACCC